UUGUCCGGAUUUAUUGGGCGUACAGCGAGCGCAUGCGGUUAGAUAGUCUGAAGUUAAAGGCUGUGGCUUAACCAUAGUACGCUUUGGAAACUGUUUAACUUGAGUGCAAGAGGGGAGAGUGGAAUUCCAUGUGUAGCGGUGAAAUGCGUAAUAUAUGGAGGAACACCGGUGGCGAAAGCGGCUCUCUGGCUUGUAACUGACGCUGAGGCUCGAAAGCGUGGGGAGCAAACAGGAUUAAUACCCUGGUAGUCAAGGGCGAAUUCGC
RNAcentral lists this ribosomal RNA (265 nucleotides) under uncultured Streptococcaceae bacterium. RNAcentral's name for it is "partial 16S ribosomal RNA". It matches the Rfam family "Bacterial small subunit ribosomal RNA", at positions 541 to 809 of the family's 1533-position model. The record is from RNAcentral. Lineage: Bacteria; Bacillati; Bacillota; Bacilli; Lactobacillales; Streptococcaceae.